This 65-nucleotide transfer RNA is filed under the name Coleoptera sp. ACP-2013. Its description in RNAcentral is "tRNA-Pro". Lineage: Eukaryota; Metazoa; Arthropoda; Insecta; Coleoptera. The record is from RNAcentral.
AGAGAAUAGUUUAAAAAAAAUUUUAGUUUUGGAGACUGAGGAUAGGAGUAAUUUCUUUCUCUGAA